UAAGCAUGCAAGUCGAACGGGAGUGAGGCCCUUCGGGGCCUCAUGAGAGUGGCGAACGGGUGAGUAACACGUAGGUGAUCUACCCUUGGGUGGGGGAUAGCCCAUGGAAACAUGGGGUAAUACCGCAUGAGGCCUUGGGGCGUGAAGCCCCUGGAUGAACGGAGCAAUUGUUCCGCCUGGGGAUGAGCCUGCGGUCCAUUAGCUAGUUGGUGUGGUAAGGGCGCACCAAGGCGACGAUGGAUAGCCGGCCUGAGAGGGUGAACGGUCACACUGGGACUGAGACACGGCCCAGACUUCUACGGGAGGCAGCAGCUAAGAAUCUUCCGCAAUGGGGGGAACCCUGACGGAGCGACGCCGCGUGGGCGAAGAAGGCCGCAAGGUUGUAAAGCCCUUUUCUUGACGAAGAAUAAGGUCAGGAGUGGAACGCCUGGCCGAUGACGUUAGUCGAGGAAGAAGCCCCGGCCAAUUACGUGCCAGCAGCCGCGGUAACACGUAUGGGGCGAGCGUUGUUCGGAAU
RNAcentral lists this ribosomal RNA (517 nucleotides) under uncultured bacterium. Its description in RNAcentral is "bacterial SSU rRNA". It matches the Rfam family "Bacterial small subunit ribosomal RNA", at positions 50 to 551 of the family's 1533-position model. The record is from RNAcentral.